Molecule: long non-coding RNA, 570 nt
Filed under: Homo sapiens (human)
Lineage: Eukaryota; Metazoa; Chordata; Mammalia; Primates; Hominidae
Description: HSALNT0111213
Source: RNAcentral
GAGGCACGUAGGGCCAGGACCAAGCCCUCACAGAGCCCACAGGUGAGGCACCUAGGGCAGGCCUGCUUCGUCAGUCCUCCCCAGCUCUCCUAUCCAGGUGGCUACUCCUCCAGACCCCACCUGCCCCAACAGCUGGAGGGCGAAGCUGCUGCAGGCAUGGGAGGCAGAGGAAUGGUGGAGGAGCUGGGGUGCUGGGCGUGCAGUAGUGCUUGACUGGAAACCGGACGAAGCUGCAGAUGGGAGAGGCACUGCUUGAACACUCCUGCCGCAUCCAUCACUCCGGGCACCUCCUGCAGUGCACACGGUCUCACUUUGAUUUUAAUCCCACCAAUAGCAGGAAGGAGGUAUGAGCCUCAUCUGCAGCUCAGGAUGAUUAGGGGACAAGUCUGGGGUCAUGUGCUGGUAAGGGAAAGAAUGUGGACUCAAUCUCACGUGGCCUGGCUCCAAAACCCGUCCAUUUGCUAAUUUAGUUUAAACCACCGGUUUUUUAACUUAAAAAUUUUGUUUCUGAACGUUGAAAAUGAAUAUAAAAUUCAAUGUGCUUCUCUGUACUCUCUUAGCAACUUCCUG